GCCCUGUAUAGAGAAUACCAUUUCAGUACAAAGAAACUGCAGAUGACAUAUCAGUGCUGACACAUCUGAGUAUCAGUUGCUGACUACAGGCUGUUCCUAAGUAGACUGCGAGCCCUGGACGUGCUGUGGAUGUGAACCAGUCCAGCUGAUGUGGACACCCCCUGUCUCUUCAACAGAGUCUGCCAACCAGCUCCUUCCCCAUUGCCUGAAUUCCCUUUUUGCUUUUGACUAGCAUUUCAGCCCUCUUGGGUCCCUAACUGUGUCCCCAAGUCAGCAGGAAGUAGCAUGGGAAAGAAUAUGUCGCCCAUUUUCCCUGGUUGAAAUGCUAAGUCAAAAUGAACUCCCUUACAUAGGCAAUGCCAAUAUCUCUCACUCCCUGAUGGGGACACUGGAGAGACAGCAUUUCCAUGAUUGGAAUCUCCAAAAAGAAAAUGGGGGAAUGAAGGGACCAGCUCCCCAUUUCAGCAGCCAUAACAGCCUAGCACAUGCUUGCCUGACCUUGCCUUGGUC
Molecule: long non-coding RNA, 510 nt
Filed under: Cricetulus griseus (Chinese hamster)
Lineage: Eukaryota; Metazoa; Chordata; Mammalia; Rodentia; Cricetidae
Description: lncRNA (ENSCGRG00015033190.1)
Source: RNAcentral